RNAcentral lists this ribosomal RNA (550 nucleotides) under uncultured bacterium. RNAcentral's name for it is "bacterial SSU rRNA". It matches the Rfam family "Bacterial small subunit ribosomal RNA", at positions 355 to 896 of the family's 1533-position model. The record is from RNAcentral.
UGGGGAAUAUUGGACAAUGGGGGGAACCCUGAUCCAGCCAUGCCGCGUGUGUGAAGAAGGCCUUAUGGUUGUAAAGCACUUUAAGCAGUGAAGAAUACAUCAUGGCUAAUAUCCGUGAUGAAUGACAUUAGCUGCAGAAUAAGCACCGGCUAACUACGUGCCAGCAGCCGCGGUAAUACGUAGGGUGCAAGCGUUGUCCGGAAUUACUGGGCGUAAAGAGCUCGUAGGUGGUUUGUCACGUCGUCUGUGAAAUUCCACAGCUUAACUGUGGGCGUGCAGGCGAUACGGGCUGACUUGAGUACUGUAGGGGUAACUGGAAUUCCUGGUGUAGCGGUGAAAUGCGCAGAUAUCAGGAGGAACACCGAUGGCGAAGGCAGGUUACUGGGCAGUUACUGACGCUGAGGAGCGAAAGCAUGGGUAGCAAACAGGAUUAGAUACCCUGGUAGUCCAUGCCGUAAACGGUGGGCGCUAGGUGUAGGGGCCUUUUGGGGUUUCUGUGCCGUAGCUAACGCAUUAAGCGCCCCGCCUGGGGAGUACGGCCGCAAGGCUA